RNAcentral lists this non-coding RNA (45 nucleotides) under Schistosoma margrebowiei. Lineage: Eukaryota; Metazoa; Platyhelminthes; Trematoda; Strigeidida; Schistosomatidae. The record is from RNAcentral.
AUCCACCUGACGAGUCCCAAACAGGACGGAACACGCGUCCUGGAU